RNAcentral lists this ribosomal RNA (483 nucleotides) under uncultured bacterium. Its description in RNAcentral is "bacterial SSU rRNA". It matches the Rfam family "Bacterial small subunit ribosomal RNA", at positions 501 to 986 of the family's 1533-position model. The record is from RNAcentral.
CUACGUGCCAGCAGCCGCGGUAAUACGGAGGGUGCAAGCGUUAAUCGGAAUUACUGGGCGUAAAGCGCACGCAGGCGGUCUGUCAAGUCGGAUGUGAAAUCCCCGGGCUCAACCUGGGAACUGCAUUCGAAACUGGUAGUCUUGAGUGCAGACAGGGAUGCUGGAACUCGUGGUGUAGCGGUGAAAUGCUUAGAUAUCACGAUGAACUCCGAUCGCGAAGGCAGGUGUCCGGGCUGCAACUGACGCUGAGGCUCGAAAGUGUGGGUAUCAAACAGGAUUAGAUACCCUGGUAGUCCACACAGUAAACGAUGUAUACUCGCGGUUUGCGAUAGACAGUAAGCCGCCAAGCGAAAGCAUUAAGUAUACCACCUGGGGAGUACGCCGGCAACGGUGAAACUCAAAGGAAUUGACGGGGGCCCGCACAAGCGGAGGAACAUGUGGUUUAAUUCGAUGAUACGCGAGGAACCUUACCCGGGCUUGAAC